Molecule: ribosomal RNA, 580 nt
Filed under: uncultured rumen bacterium
Lineage: Bacteria
Description: bacterial SSU rRNA
Rfam family: Bacterial small subunit ribosomal RNA
Source: RNAcentral
GUGCGAGAGGGGCAUCCCUUUUGUACCAAAGGAGCAAUCCGCUGAAAGAUGGGCUCAUGACUGAUUAGUUAGUUGGCAGGGCAACGGCCUACCAAGACUGCGAUCAGUAGCCGGACUGAGAGGUUGAACGGCCACAUUGGGACUGAGAUACGGCCCAGACUCCUACGGGAGGCAGCAGUGGGGAAUAUUGGGCAAUGGGCGAAAGCCUGACCCAGCAACGCCGCGUGAAGGAAGAAGGUCUUCGGAUUGUAAACUUCUUGUAUGAGGGACGAAGGACGUGACGGUACCUCAUGAAUAAGCCACGGCUAACUACGUGCCAGCAGCCGCGGUAAUACGUAGGUGGCGAGCGUUAUCCGGAUUUACUGGGUGUAAAGGGCGCGUAGGCGGAUCAGCAAGUCAGAUGUGAAAUCCAUGGGCUUAACUCAUGAACUGCAUUUGAAACUGUUGAUCUUGAGUGCUGGAGAGGUAGACGGAAUUCCUAGUGUAGCGGUGAAAUGCGUAGAUAUUAGGAAGAACACCGGCGGCGAAGGCGGUCUACUGGACAGUAACUGACGCUGAGGCGCGAAAGCGUGGGGAGCAA